GAUCCUGGCUCAGGAUGAACGCUGGCGGCGUGCUUAACACAUGCAAGUUGUGCGGUGAUCUCAAGAAGUUUCGGACGGAAAGGGAGAGCAGCAGCGGACGGGUGAGUAAAGCACAAGGACUUGUCCCGAAGAGGGGGACAACUGUGGGAAACCACAGCUAAUACCCCUAUAAGCCGAGAGGUGAAAGCAGUAAUGCGCUUUAGGAGAGACUUGUGUCCUAUCAGGUAGUUGGUGAGGUAACGGCUCACCAAGCCGAAGACGGGUAGCCGGACUGAGAGGUUGUACGGCCACAUUGGAACUGAGAGACGGUCCAGACUCCUACGGGAGGCAGCAGUGGGGAAUAUUGGGCAAUGGGGGGCCAACCCUGACCCAGCGACGCCGCGUGAGGGAAGACAGCCUUCGGGUUGUAAACCUCUGUUGCAGGGGAAGAAGAAAGUGACGGUACCCUGCGAGGAAGCUCCGGCAAACUACGUGCCAGCCGCCGC
Molecule: ribosomal RNA, 485 nt
Filed under: uncultured bacterium
Lineage: Bacteria
Description: bacterial SSU rRNA
Rfam family: Bacterial small subunit ribosomal RNA
Source: RNAcentral